Molecule: transfer RNA, 74 nt
Filed under: Candidatus Margulisiibacteriota bacterium
Lineage: Bacteria; Bacillati; Candidatus Margulisiibacteriota
Description: tRNA-Pro
Rfam family: tRNA
About the family: Transfer RNA (tRNA) molecules are approximately 80 nucleotides in length. Their secondary structure includes four short double-helical elements and three loops (D, anti-codon, and T loops). Further hydrogen bonds mediate the characteristic L-shaped molecular structure. tRNAs have two regions of fundamental functional importance: the anti-codon, which is responsible for specific mRNA codon recognition, and the 3' end, to which the tRNAs corresponding amino acid is attached (by aminoacyl-tRNA synthetases). tRNAs cope with the degeneracy of the genetic code in two manners: having more than one tRNA (with a specific anti-codon) for a particular amino acid; and 'wobble' base-pairing, i.e. permitting non-standard base-pairing at the 3rd anti-codon position.
Source: RNAcentral
CGGAGCAUGGCUCAGUUUGGUAGAGCGCCUGGUUCGGGACCAGGAGGUCGUGGGUUCAAAUCCCGCUGCUCCGA